CUCCUGGAAACGGGUGGUAAUGCCGGAUGCUCCGCCUCCUCGCAUGGGGGGUCGGGAAGGCUUUUGCGGAAUGGGAUGGGGUCGCGUCCUAUCAGCUUGUUGGCGGGGCGACGGCCCACCAAGGCUUCGACGGGUAGCCGGCCUGAGAGGGCGACCGGCCACAUUGGGACUGAGAUACGGCCCAGACUCCUACGGGAGGCAGCAGUGGGGAAUAUUGCACAAUGGGGGGAACCCUGAUGCAGCGACGCCGCGUGCGGGAUGGAGGCCUUCGGGUCGUGAACCGCUUUUGAUUGGGAGCAAGCGUGAGUGAGUGUACCUUUCGAAUAAGCACCGGCUAACUACGUGCCAGCAGCCGCGGUAAUACGUAGGGUGCAAGCGUUGUCCGGAAUCAUUGGGCGUAAAGGGCUCGUAGGCGGUUCGUCGCGUCCGGUGUGAAAGCCCAUCGCUUAACGGUGGGUCUGCGCCGGGUACGGGCGGGCUUGAGUGCGGCAGGGGAGGCUGGAAUUCCCGGUGUAACGGUGGAAUGUGUAGAUAUCGGGAAGAACACC
RNAcentral lists this ribosomal RNA (548 nucleotides) under uncultured Bifidobacterium sp. RNAcentral describes it as "bacterial SSU rRNA". It matches the Rfam family "Bacterial small subunit ribosomal RNA", at positions 147 to 710 of the family's 1533-position model. The record is from RNAcentral. Lineage: Bacteria; Bacillati; Actinomycetota; Actinomycetes; Bifidobacteriales; Bifidobacteriaceae.